RNAcentral lists this ribosomal RNA (440 nucleotides) under uncultured bacterium. RNAcentral's name for it is "partial 16S ribosomal RNA". It matches the Rfam family "Bacterial small subunit ribosomal RNA", at positions 338 to 795 of the family's 1533-position model. The record is from RNAcentral.
CCUACGGGAGGCAGCAGUGGGGAAUAUUGCACAAUGGGGGAAACGCUGAUGCAGCGACGCCGCGUGAGGGAAGAAGGAUUUCUGUAUGUAAAACUCUAUCAGCAGGGAAGAUAAGGACGCUACCUGACUAAGAAGCCCCGGCUAACUACGUGCCAGCAGCCGCGGUAAUACGUAGGGGGCAAGCGUUAUCCGGAUUUACUGGGUGUAAAGGGGGCGUAGGUGGCGGGGCAAGUCAGAUGUGAAAACGCGGGGCUCAACCCCGGGAGUGCAUUUGAAACUGUCCAGCUGGAGUGCAGGAGAGGUAAGCGGAAUUCCUAGUGUAGCGGUGAAAUGCAUAGAUAUCAGGAGGAACACCAGUGGCGAAGGCGGCUUACUGGACCGUAACUGACACUGAGGCUCGAAAGCGUGGGGAGCAAACAGGAUUAGAUACCCGGGUAGUC